UACGGAGGGUGCAAGCGUUGUCCGGAAUCACUGGGCGUAAAGGGCGCGUAGGCGGCUCAUGGAGGCUGUGGUGAAAGUCCGGGGCUCAACCUCGGAUCGGCCGUGGCGACUCGUGGGCUGGAGCACUGUAGAGGCGGGUGGAAUUCCUGGUGUAGCGGUGAAAUGCGCAGAUAUCAGGAGGAACACCAAUGGCGAAGGCAGCUCGCUGGGACGGUACUGACGCUGAGACGCGAAAGCGUGGGGAGCAAACAGG
Molecule: ribosomal RNA, 253 nt
Filed under: uncultured bacterium
Lineage: Bacteria
Description: partial 16S ribosomal RNA
Rfam family: Bacterial small subunit ribosomal RNA
Source: RNAcentral